GUGGGGAAUAUUGGGCAAUGGGCGCAAGCCUGAUCCAGCCAUGCCGCGUGCAGGAAGACGCAUCUAUGGUGUGUAAACUGCUUUUGUACGGGAAGAAACACUCCCUCGUGAGGGAGCUUGACGGUACCGUAAGAAUAAGGAUCGGCUAACUCCGUGCCAGCAGCCGCGGUAAUACGGAGGAUCCAAGCGUUAUCCGGAAUCAUUGGGUUUAAAGGGUCCGUAGGCGGUUUAAUAAGUCAGUGGUGAAAGCCCAUCGCUCAACGAUGGAACGGCCAUUGAUACUGUUAGACUUGAAUUACAAGGAAGUAACUAGAAUAUGUAGUGUAGCGGUGAAAUGCUUAGAUAUUACAUGGAAUACCAAUUGCGAAGGCAGGUUACUACUUGUGGAUUGACGCUGAUGGACGAAAGCGUGGGGAGCGAACAGGAUUAGAAACCCUUGUAGUCC
RNAcentral lists this ribosomal RNA (445 nucleotides) under uncultured bacterium. Its description in RNAcentral is "partial 16S ribosomal RNA". It matches the Rfam family "Bacterial small subunit ribosomal RNA", at positions 354 to 796 of the family's 1533-position model. The record is from RNAcentral.